RNAcentral lists this ribosomal RNA (253 nucleotides) under uncultured bacterium. Its description in RNAcentral is "partial 16S ribosomal RNA". It matches the Rfam family "Bacterial small subunit ribosomal RNA", at positions 524 to 776 of the family's 1533-position model. The record is from RNAcentral.
UACGUAGGGUGCGAGCGUUGUCCGGAAUUAUUGGGCGUAAAGGGCUCGUAGGCGGUUUGUCGCGUCGGGAGUGAAAACCCAGGGCUUAACUCUGGGCUUGCUUUCGAUACGGGCAGACUAGAGGUAUGCAGGGGAGAACGGAAUUCCUGGUGUAGCGGUGAAAUGCGCAGAUAUCAGGAGGAACACCGGUGGCGAAGGCGGUUCUCUGGGCAUUACCUGACGCUGAGGAGCGAAAGCGUGGGGAGCGAACAGG